UAAACUAGGAUUAGAUACCCUAUUAUUAAAAAUGUAAAUUAUUAUACUUGAUUAGUAUUAGUUAUGUUCUUGAAAUUCAAAGAAUCUGGCGGUAUUUUAGUCUAUUCAGAGGAACCUGUCCUGUAAUUGAUGAUCCACGAUUAAUUGUACUUAUUUUAAAGGUUUGUAUAUCGUCGUAAUUUGAAUGUUUUAAGAGAAAUAGGAAUGUUCAAGAUUUAUGAAGUUAAGUAAAAUCAGAUCAAGAUACAGCGUAUAAAUAAGGAGAGAUGGGUUACAAUAAAAAUAUUUAUAUGGUUAGUUUAAUUAACAUUAUUCUAUAAAGUGGAUUUGAAAGUAAUAUAAUUGAGUUUAAUUAUAUGAUUUUAGCUCUAAAAUAUGCACAUAUCGCCCGUCGCUCCCAUUAUAAGAUGGGAUAAGUCGUAACAGAGUAGGUGUACUGGAAGGUGUACCUAGUAAGACAAAUUAGAGCUUGUUAUAAAGCAUUUUAUUUACAUUAAAAAGUUAGUUGUGAGAAUCAAUUUAAUUUGAAGUUUGAUAUUUAUAUUUAAUUAUUAAAAAAAAUAUUUUUAUUAUUAGUAUUUUAGGAAUUUAAGGUAUAUAUUAUAGUUUAAAGUAUAGUGAUAGAUUAUUGAAAUAUAAUUUUAAUUUAAUUAGGAAAAAGAAGAAUUAAUUUUUUGUACCUUGUGUAUCAGGGUUUAUUAAAAUAAUUUAAUUUGUUAGAUUUCUCGAAUUAAAAAGAGCUAAUAUUAUAUAAAUUUAAUUGUAGAAUAAAUUUUUAUAAUAUAAUAUUAGAAAUGAAACGUUAUUCGUUUUUUAAGAUAUCUAGUUUUUUAAGAAAUAAAUUUAAUUUAUUUUAUUAUUGAUAUUUAACUAAAUUUUUAGUUAAAUAUAAUAAUAAAUAAAUAUUUUAGGGGAUAAGCUUUAAAAUAUAUUAAUAUAAUUUUUAAUUUUAAUAGAAAAAAAAUUAUAGGAUUGGAAAUUUUCAUUAUAUAGUAUGUUAUAAUUAAUUUUUUUUAUAAUAAGAUUUAUAUUUAGAUUUAUAUGAUUUAUUAAAAUGAUAUAAUUAGUUUUAUUUUAUAUGUAAUAAUGAUAGAAUUAGUAUAAUUUUAUGUAUUUUUAAUUUAUAAGAUUUAGGUUAAGUUAAGGAAUUCGGCAAAUUUAUUUUUCGCCUGUUUAUUAAAAACAUGUCUUUUUGAGGAUAAUUUAAAGUCGGACCUGCCCAAUGAGGAGUUGAAUGGCCGCGGUAUUUUGACCGUGCAAAGGUAGCAUAAUCAUUAGUUUUUUAAUUGAAAGCUAGAAUGAAUGGUUGGACGAGAAAAUAGCUGUCUCAGUUUAAUUUAAAUUAGAAUUUUAUUUUUAAGUAAAAAAGCUUAAAUAGGUUUAAAAGACGAGAAGACCCUAUAGAGUUUUAUAUUUUUUAUUAUAUUAAUAUUUUAGUAUUAUUAUAGUUUUUAUAUUAAGGGAUAUUUUGUUGGGGUGACAAAAAAAUUUAAUGAACUUUUUUUAAGUUAAAACAUUUAUUUAUGAAUAUAUGAUCCGUAUUAUACGAUUAAAAGAUUAAAUUACCUUAGGGAUAACAGCGUAAUUUUUUUUGAGAGUUCUAAUCGAAAAGAAAGUUUGCGACCUCGAUGUUGGAUUAAAAUUAACUUUUGGUGCAGUAGCUAAAAGGUUAGGUCUGUUCGACCUUUAAAAUUUUACAUGAUCUGAGUUCAAACCGGAG
Molecule: ribosomal RNA, 1720 nt
Filed under: Neorrhina sp. NLG-2014
Lineage: Eukaryota; Metazoa; Arthropoda; Insecta; Coleoptera; Scarabaeidae
Description: partial 16S ribosomal RNA
Rfam family: Archaeal large subunit ribosomal RNA (bases 1573-1720)
Source: RNAcentral